AGAGUUUGAUCAUGGCUCAGAGUGAACGCUGGCGGCAGGCCUAACACAUGCAAGUCGAACGGCAGCGGGUCAGUAGCAAUACUGAUGCCGGCGAGUGGCGGACGGGUGAGGAAUACAUCGGAAUCUACCUUGUCGUGGGGGAUAACGUAGGGAAACUUACGCUAAUACCGCAUACGACCUACGGGUGAAAGCGGCGGACCGCAAGGCGUCGCGCGAUUGGAUGAGCCGAUGUCCGAUUAGCUAGUUGGCGGGGUAAAGGCCCACCAAGGCGACGAUCGGUAGCUGGUCUGAGAGGAUGAUCAGCCACACUGGGACUGAGACACGGCCCAGACUCCUACGGGAGGCAGCAGUGGGGAAUAUUGGACAAUGGGCGCAAGCCUGAUCCAGCCAUGCCGCGUGUGUGAAGAAGGCCUGCGGGUUGUAAAGCACUUUCAGUGGGGAAGAAAAAAUCGGAUCUAACACAUCCGAUCUUGACGUUACCCAUAGAAGAAGCACCGGCUAACUCCGUGCCAGCAGCGGCGGUAAUUC
RNAcentral lists this ribosomal RNA (528 nucleotides) under uncultured bacterium. Its description in RNAcentral is "bacterial SSU rRNA". It matches the Rfam family "Bacterial small subunit ribosomal RNA", at positions 8 to 526 of the family's 1533-position model. The record is from RNAcentral.